CCUACGGGGCGCAGCAGUGAGGAAUAUUGGUCAAUGGACGCAAGUCUGAACCAGCCAUGCCGCGUGCAGGAAGACGGCUCUAUGAGUUGUAAACUGCUUUUGUACGAGGGUAAACGCAGAUACGCGUAUCUUUCUGAAAGUAUCGUACGAAUAAGGAUCGGCUAACUCCGUGCCAGCAGCCGCGGUAAUACGGAGGAUUCAAGCGUUAUCCGGAUUUAUUGGGUUUAAAGGGUGCGUAGGGGGUCGGAUAAGUUAGAGGUGAAAUCCCGAGGCUCAACUUCGGAAUUGCCUCUGAUACUGUUCGGCUAGAGAGUAGUUGCGGUAGGCGGAAUGUAUGGUGUAGCGGUGAAAUGCUUAGAGAUCAUACAGAACACCGAUUGCGAAGGCAGCUUACCAAGCUACUUCUGACGUUGAGGCACGAAAGCGUGGGGAGCAAACAGGAUUAGAUACCCUAGUAGUC
RNAcentral lists this ribosomal RNA (460 nucleotides) under uncultured bacterium. RNAcentral describes it as "partial 16S ribosomal RNA". It matches the Rfam family "Bacterial small subunit ribosomal RNA", at positions 338 to 795 of the family's 1533-position model. The record is from RNAcentral.